Molecule: ribosomal RNA, 374 nt
Filed under: Stramenopiles sp.
Lineage: Eukaryota
Description: partial small subunit ribosomal RNA
Rfam family: Eukaryotic small subunit ribosomal RNA
Source: RNAcentral
AUUCCAGCUCCAAUAGCGAAUACUAAUUCUGCUGCAGUUAAAAAGCUCGUAGUUGAACUUCUGGUAGGACAGAUCCGGCCUUUGGAUGAAUGUCCAUUGUAUGCUGUGUGUCUUGUCUGGCCAUCCUUUAUGUCUUUUAGGCGUAAUCUUUCACUGUAAAAAAAUUAGAGUGUUCAAAGCAGGCUUAAGCCGUUGGAUACAUUAGCAUGGAAUAAUGAGAUAGGACCGUGGUGUUUUAUUUUGUUGGUUUGCACGCCAAGGUAAUGAUCAAUAGGGACAGUUGGGGGUAUUCGUAUUCAAUUGUCAGAGGUGAAAUUCUUGGAUUUAUGGAAGACGAACUACUGCGAAAGCAUUUACCAAGGAUGUUUUCAUCG